GACGAACGCUGGCGGCGUGCUUAACACAUGCAAGUCGAACGAAGUGGGGAACGGGUGAGUAAUACGUGGGUAACCUGCCCUCCUUUUUGGGAUAAACCUUGGAACCGGGGUCUAAUAACGAAUAACGGGGGAUGGGUUCGCGGCCGAUCAGCGUGUUGGGGGGGUGAUGGACUACCAAGGCGGUGACGGGUAGGUGGCCUGAGAGGGUGACCGGCCACAUUGUGAGUGAGAGACGGCCAAGACAGCUAGGGGUGGGAGCCGUGGGGGAGAGUGCACAAUGGGGGAAAGCCUGAGGCGGGUACGCGGCGUGGGGGAUGAAGGCGUUCGGGUUGUAAACCGCUGUCGCUAUCGAACGGGUAGGUGGAGAAGAAGCGCCGGCUAACUACGUGCCAGCCGCCGCGGUAAUUC
Molecule: ribosomal RNA, 408 nt
Filed under: uncultured bacterium
Lineage: Bacteria
Description: partial 16S ribosomal RNA
Rfam family: Bacterial small subunit ribosomal RNA
Source: RNAcentral